Molecule: unclassified non-coding RNA, 311 nt
Filed under: Hevea brasiliensis (rubber tree)
Lineage: Eukaryota; Viridiplantae; Streptophyta; Magnoliopsida; Malpighiales; Euphorbiaceae
Source: RNAcentral
GGAAGCUUUAACGAAGGUUUUGAGAGAAGGUUUUAAUGUAAAGUACAUGUUUGAUACAAUUACAGUGUGCCAUGGAUGUGAGAAUUCGGGUGGGAUAUGCGGCAGCAACUCUUCUACGUCCGGCUUCACUUGCCUUUGCACUGACCAACGCAAUUCUUAUACUUGUCCAAAAGGCAAUGAUAAGAAUGUGGGAUUGAAAGUUUGUAUAGCUGUUGGGGCAGCUUUUGUAGGUGGAGCCAUAAUGUGUGCAAUUUUCUACAUCUAUCAACGGCGCCACAAGAGAAAAACAUAUGCUCCAUCUUCCUUUGUCU